Prunus avium (sweet cherry) is the source of this 420-nucleotide non-coding RNA. Lineage: Eukaryota; Viridiplantae; Streptophyta; Magnoliopsida; Rosales; Rosaceae. The record is from RefSeq and is a predicted model, not a curated record.
AUUUUAUUGUGUGCUAGGAUGAAGGAUUUGAUGUUCAAACGUCUGGCUACGGCUUGAUGGCCACAUACCAUGCCAAGAAUGAGUACUGCCUUUUUUCCGAUAUGCGCCAAGGCUACCAGGUGUUUGUCAGCAUUAUCUCUCAACUAGAGGACUGAGAAUCAGCAAAGAGAAAAGAAGAAAACUAGAAGACUGAGAAUAACAAGUUGCAAUGAUACUACCAAAUCAAACCAAAAAUGAGUACUGCCUUUUUUUCUGAUAUGUGCCAAGGCUACCGGGUGUUUGUUAGCACUACGUCUCGAGUCUUGACUAGAAGAAUGAGAAUCGAGGGGAAAAUAAAGGGAAGUGAAAAGAAAGUAGAAGAUUGAGAAUAAUGAGAAAUUGCAAAUGAUACUUACCGAACCAUGGCUGAUAAGUAUUGUU